Molecule: long non-coding RNA, 752 nt
Filed under: Gallus gallus (chicken)
Lineage: Eukaryota; Metazoa; Chordata; Aves; Galliformes; Phasianidae
Source: RNAcentral
GGAAAAGAAUUGCAAGGUUCAGAGAGCUGGCGGCGAAAUCUGUGGUCCAUAGGGAAGCUGUUGUCUUGAAUGGAUUGGGAUGGAGGGAGAUGGGCAGGGAAAACCCGGUCAGGUUUAGGAGUCUGAGCUGAGUUUGGGGAGGCAUGGUGCAGUGGUGACACAGGAGUGCUGGAUGGCGUUGGUGGGUUGGAGGGCCUCAUUCCCACUUGUGGCUUCUGAUCAUAGGCACUGACAUUGUACAGGCACUUUUCCCCAUAACUGAACUUGAAUGGUUGCUCUUGACUACAAGCAGAGCCAAGUUCUGAACAUGGGCUAUGGGGUUCCUUCUUGAUUUUCACAGGGAGACCAUGAAAAGCCAAACUUUCAGCCUGAUAGUCUGGCACAAACUGCUCGUCAUUGUCAGGUACCUGAGCUUCUGCAAGCCAUGUCUCCUGUAAUUGGCUCAGAUCUUGAAAGAGUUCUUCUGAAUCAUGAGCCAGGUCUCUGUUAAUGAAUUUUCUUUUCCUGACAUUUGUCGGUCUCUCAUUACAGUUUCUCCCACGCGGAUUAUUGGUGACCAUGUAAGGCACUUGCUGGUCAUAAAAUCCAUCCAUCCUGUGGCUCUUCCACGAGUCUGAGCUCAGUGUUUUAUUUAGUGGGCAUUGGAUCUGGAGAUUUCCUCGGGAUCUGGACUCCAAUCAGCCUGAAGGCCACGCGCGGCGAUCGGCUGCAAAAAAUUUCCCUCCAAAUUUAAUAAAAACAUUAAUUAUUCC